UCCGGUUUGUCACCGGCGGUCUCCUUAGAGUUCCCAACUUAAUGAUGGCAACUAAGGACAAGGGUUGCGCUCGUUGCGGGACUUAACCCAACAUCUCACGACACGAGCUGACGACAGCCAUGCAGCACCUGUACUGGUGUCCCGAAGGAGGCCCCGUGUUUCCACGGGUUUCACCCUGCAUGUCAAGCCCAGGUAAGGUUCUUCGCGUCGCAUCGAAUUAAGCCGCAUGCUCCGCCGCUUGUGCGGGCCCCCGUCAAUUUCUUUGAGUUUUAGCCUUGCGGCCGUACUCCCCAGGCGGGGCACUUAAUGCGUUAGCUACGGCACAGAUCCCGUUGGUUGAGACCCACACCUAGUGCCCAACGUUUACGGCGUGGACUAC
Molecule: unclassified non-coding RNA, 379 nt
Filed under: uncultured bacterium
Lineage: Bacteria
Description: contains 16S-23S intergenic spacer region
Source: RNAcentral